This 1233-nucleotide ribosomal RNA is filed under the name metagenome. RNAcentral describes it as "bacterial LSU rRNA". It matches the Rfam family "Bacterial large subunit ribosomal RNA", at positions 1564 to 2808 of the family's 2925-position model. The record is from RNAcentral.
UGAAUACGAGAUGCUACGGCAUCGAAGCAGUCUAUGUCAUACUUCCAAGAAAAGCUUGCACUGUCAUAAACAAAUAAUGCCUGUACCAUAACCGACACAGGUGGGUAGGUAGAGUAUACUAAGGGGCGCGAGAUAACUCUCUAAGGAACUCGGCAAAAUGACUCCGUAACUUCGGGAGAAGGAGUGCCUUAUUUUAUAAGGUUGCAAUAACAAGAUCCAAGCAACUGUUUACCAAAAACACAGGUCUCCGCUAAGUCGUAAGACGAUGUAUGGGGGCUGACGCCUGCCCAGUGCCAGAAGGUUAAAGAAGUUGGUUAGCAUUAGCGAAGCUGAUAACUGAAGCCCUGGUGAACGGCGGCCGUAACAAUAACGGUCCUAAGGUAGCGAAAUUCCUUGUCGGGUAAGUUCCGACCCGCACGAAAGGCGUAAUGAUUUGGAUACUGUCUCGGAGAGGGGCUCGGUGAAAUAGACUUGUCUGUGAAGAUGCGGACUACUUGCACCAGGACAGAAAGACCCUAUGAAGCUUUACUGUAACUUGAGAUUGAAAUUGGACUUUAUUUGCGCAGUAUAGGUGGGAGACGUUGAAAAUAUUCUUGCGGGAAUAUUGGAGUCAUCAGUGAGAUACCACUCUUAUAAUGUUAGAUUUCUAACUUUGUAUCAUUAUCUGGUCAAAGAACAGUCUCAGGCGGGCAGUUUGACUGGGGCGGUCGCCUCCCAAACGGUAACGGAGGCGCACAAAGGUUUCCUCUGAACGUGUAGAAAUCGUAUCUAGAGUGUAAAGGCAUAAGGAAGCUUGACUGUGAGACCUACAAGUCGAGCAGGGACGAAAGUCGGUCUUAGUGAUCUGACGGUGCUGAGUGGAAAGGCCGUCACUCAACGGAUAAAAGUUACUCUAGGAUAACAGGCUGAUCUCCCCCAAGAGUUCACAUCGACGGGGAGGUUUGGCACCUCGAUGUCGGCUCAUCGCAUCCUGGGGCGGUAGUACGUCCCAAGGGUUGGGCUGUUCGCCCAUGAAAGCGGUACGCGAGCUGGGUUCAGAACGUCGUGAGACAGUUCGGUCCAUAUCCGGUGUAGGCGUUAGAAUAUUGAGAGGAGCCUUCUUUAGUACGAGAGGACCGAGAAGGACAUACCUCUGGUGUACCAGUUAUCGUGCCAACGGUAAACGCUGGGUAGCUAUGUAUGGAGAGGAUAACCGCUGAAAGCAUCUAAGUGGGAAGCCCACCUCAAGAUAAG